Long non-coding RNA from Oncorhynchus keta (chum salmon), 1202 nucleotides. RefSeq lists it as uncharacterized. The record is from RefSeq and is a predicted model, not a curated record. The transcript is spliced from 3 exons. Lineage: Eukaryota; Metazoa; Chordata; Actinopteri; Salmoniformes; Salmonidae.
CACAGUGAGGUCACAUCUAGAUACAUGUCAGACGGCACGGUGAGGUCACAUCUAGAUACAUGUCAGACAACACGGUGAGGUCACAUCUAGAUACAUGUCAGACGGCACGGUGAGGUCACAUCUAGAUACAUGUCAGACAACACGGUGAGGUCACAUCUAGAUACAUGUCAGACGGCACGGUGAGGUCACAUCUAAAUACAUGUCAGACGGCACAGUGAGAUCACAUCUAGAUACAUGUCAGACAACACGGUGAGGUCACAUCUAGAAACAUGUCGGACAACACAGUGAGGUCACAUCUAGAUACAUGUCAGACAACACGGUGAGGUCACAUCUAGAUACAUGUCAGACGACACAGUGAGAUCACAUCUAAAUACAUGUCAGAUGACACAGUGAGGUCACAUCUAGAUACAUGUCAGACGGCACGGUGAGGUCACAUCUAGAUACAUGUCAGACAACACGGUGAGGUCACAUCUAGAUACAUGUCAGACGGCACGGUGAGGUCACAUCUAAAUACAUGUCAGACGGCACGGUGAGGUCACAUCUAGAUACAUGUCAGACAACACAGUGAGAUCACAUCUAGAUACAUGUCAGACGGCACGGUGAGGUCACAUCUAAAUACAUGUCAGACGGCACGGUGAGGUCACAUCUAGAUACAUGUCAGACGACACAGUGAGAUCACAUCUAAAUACAUGUCAGAUGACACAGUGAGGUCACAUCUAGAUACAUGUCAGACGGCACGGUGAGGUCACAUCUAGAUACAUGUCAGACAACACGGUGAGGUCACAUCUAGAUACAUGUCAGACGGCACGGUGAGGUCACAUCUAAAUACAUGUCAGACGGCACGGUGAGGUCACAUCUAGAUACAUGUCAGACAACACAGUGAGAUCACAUCUAGAUACAUGUCAGACGGCACGGUGAGGUCACAUCUAAAUACAUGUCAGACGGCACGGUGAGGUCACAUCUAGAUACAUGUCAGACGACACAGUGAGAUCACAUCUAAAUACAUGUCAGAUGACACAGUGAGGUCACAUCUAGAUACAUGUCAGACGGCACGGUGAGGUCACAUCUAGAUACAUGUCAGACAACACGGUGAGGUCACAUCUAGAUACAUGUCAGACGGCACGGUGAGGUCACAUCUAAAUACAUGUCAGACGGCACGGUGAGGUCACAUCUAGAUACAUGUCAGACAACACAGUGAGAUC